RNAcentral lists this transfer RNA (68 nucleotides) under Jaculus jaculus (lesser Egyptian jerboa). RNAcentral's name for it is "tRNA (ENSJJAG00000000036.1)". Lineage: Eukaryota; Metazoa; Chordata; Mammalia; Rodentia; Dipodidae. The record is from RNAcentral.
GCCUCUAUAGUAUAACUAAUUACUCUGGUCUUGUAAACCAGCAAUGAGAAGUCCAUUCUCUAAAGGCA